Long non-coding RNA from Carassius auratus (goldfish), 2185 nucleotides. RefSeq lists it as uncharacterized. The record is from RefSeq and is a predicted model, not a curated record. Lineage: Eukaryota; Metazoa; Chordata; Actinopteri; Cypriniformes; Cyprinidae. The transcript is spliced from 5 exons.
GAUGAAGAACUGAUACAGAAGAAGCAUGAGGAGAGACUGGAGAUGAUCCCACAGAAUAUGCCAUGAAGAGAAAAGUGAGUGCAUGAAUACUGGGAUCUGUUUUUGUUUUUUUUUCACCUUUACCUGGACAUAAACAAGGUUUUAUGAUUAAGUUCUUAAUUCUUUACAAAUCAUAAAUAAUUUGAGUAUGGAUCUGCCAUUUCAGUUGUUAAUGGAUAUUACAUUUACCCAAGAAAAGUAUCAGGUUGCUUAUUAACAGGCCAGUGAAGAAGAUGAGGCUGUAAAAUUACUCCAGCUAAGAAAAGAGGGGGCAGAGUCAAAGAUACACAUUCCAGGGGAGGAGGGGCUUAUUGUAUCUUGGCUUAUUGCAAAAUAUGAGAGUGAUGAUGAAGCCACACCCAAGAGCAGGUAUUGAUUGUGUUUAUGGAUGACUGGAUGAGUGUGUGUUCUCCAGCCUUGAGUUCUCAUAGGGUUUCCUCUGUAGGAUGUGUGAUGAGGACGCAUUGCUGUCGCCCAGUGGUAGAGCAUUGUGUUAGCAGCGCAAAAGGUCAUGGGUUCAAUUCCCAGAGAACACACAUAGUGGUGAAAAAAACAACAACAGUAUAGCCUGAAUGCACUGUAAGUCUCUGUGAAUAAAAGCAUCUGCUAAAUGCAUAAAUGUAAAUGUAUGGUUGCAGAAGUUGAUUUUGAUUGUACAUCAAACCGAUCUUCUCUGUGUUGAAGGGACUUCUCCGCACACUCGGAGGUUGGUUGUGUGGCAGGUUGUUUUGUUUGAUCAUUUUAUCUUGUUCCAUCUCGUUUUAUCUAGCUGAUUUGUUGCUGUGGUUUACUGUUAAUAGGUAAAGUGGGUCAGAAUUCGAACAGUCAGUCCUGCCAAGCAGGUAAACAAACACAACCGGCACGCAAAGCACAAGAAACCUUUCGAUGUUUCUAAAUGUUUUCGUCCUUCAUUAAGUGUUCUGAUUUUGAAUUCCUUUACACAACAGGAAGCGAGUGCUGACCAUCAAUGACUUCCUGUUUAAGGCUCCAGCUAUUACACUGACGCAGGAUUAUUUAUAUAAUAAUCUGUUUGGACUUGUGCAGAAGUAUGAAGGUAGUGGUGUAAUCACACACUGGAGAUCUGAGAACGAAGAGAACCGUCACACAGAAGGACUGGGACACUUCCUGCAGACGCUUCAGAACAGACCUCCAGAUGUUUCAGAGCAGCAGAUGGCAGUAGAAGACAAACCAAUCAUGGUUUCUCCAAUGAUGCUGCUGAAGGUUUCCUGUUUGCCCUCACUAAAGCCAACAUAGACGGACAAGUCGUGAUGCAAAGACAGGCAUGUCUUUCUCAGAGCAGUCUGAAGUUUCUCUUACUGAACGCCACAGUUCACUCCAGAUCAUCCAAUCAGCACACACACACACACACACACACACACACACAAACUUCACAAGCACUGUUGGACACAGCUGUCUCAGUUACAUAACGUUAAACGGACAUAUUAAAGUCUCUGAGUGUGUAGAAGAACAUGCUGAAAGCAAGACUGACUUUGUGUUAAUGUUUUGCAGAUUGUUGAUUUUAAAGAGCAGCUUCUUUUUUCCGCUGGGGGUCACAGAAGACCGUAUUUUAGAGUUCUCUUGUGGUCACGUCAUACCCCCUGUGAGCAUCCUACCCAUAGUGCUAAGCGCAGGCCCCUCAGGACAACAGUUGGAGUUCACUUUUCAAACUAGAGACACCCACAGAUGGUAAAACGUACAUGAGCAAAUUAAAACUACCACAGAUGGUGACAAGCAAACACAACAAAUCUCUGCUUGUCUUAAUUUAUGGCCACAAAAAAGUAUCAGCACUUGUGCACAUAUAUGAAAUAUUGUUUUAUUUGUAUAAACUUAACUUUAAAACAAGAACAAAUAUUUGUAAAUGGAAUACGAAAGCAUGUUUUUCAUUGGAAUUCAGUUUAUGUUUGUGAGCCCCUUUGCAGAUAUGUGUAAUUGUAGAUAAUUUGGAUAAUUUUAAUACAUUUAUCAGAAAGCAAGACUUCUUAUCUUGUAAUUUUUGCAUCUAACUUGAUUUUAAGAAUUUUUAGACAUUUGACAAAAAUACUGAGGAAGAACAUCACUUUUGUGCGUGAUCAGAAGGAGCAGUAAAAAUGAUUUAAUAUCCUUGUUAAGCUACUUUUUUUGUGUGUAAAUUUAAUUAAAAAGUAAC